GGGAACGUACCUUUUGGUUCGGAACAACACAGGGAAACUUGUGCUAAUACCGGAUAAGCCCUUACGGGGAAAGAUUUAUCGCCGAAAGAUCGGCCCGCGUCUGAUUAGCUAGUUGGUAGGGUAACGGCCUACCAAGGCGACGAUCAGUAGCUGGUCUGAGAGGAUGAUCAGCCACAUUGGGACUGAGACACGGCCCAAACUCCUACGGGAGGCAGCAGUGGGGAAUAUUGGACAAUGGGGGCAACCCCGAUCCAGCCAUGCCGCGUGAGUGAUGAAGGCCCUAGGGUUGUAAAGCUCUUUUGUGCGGGAAGAUAAUGACGGUACCGCAAGAAUAAGCCCCGGCUAACUUCGUGCCAGCAGCCGCGGUAAUACGAAGGGGGCUAGCGUUGCUCGGAAUCACUGGGCGUAAAGGGUGCGUAGGCGGGUCUUUAAGUCAGGGGUGAAAUCCUGGAGCUCAACUCCAGAACUGCCUUUGAUACUGAAGAUCUUGAGUUCGGGAGAGGUGAGUGGAACUGCGAGU
Molecule: ribosomal RNA, 520 nt
Filed under: uncultured bacterium
Lineage: Bacteria
Description: bacterial SSU rRNA
Rfam family: Bacterial small subunit ribosomal RNA
Source: RNAcentral